This 72-nucleotide transfer RNA is filed under the name Cliona patera. RNAcentral describes it as "tRNA-Gly". It matches the Rfam family "tRNA". From Rfam's summary of the family: Transfer RNA (tRNA) molecules are approximately 80 nucleotides in length. Lineage: Eukaryota; Metazoa; Porifera; Demospongiae; Clionaida; Clionaidae. The record is from RNAcentral.
GCACGUAUAAUUUAACAGGUAAAAUAAAUGAUUUCCAAUCAUUAAUAGUGGGUUCGAGUCCUGCUGUGUGCA